GAUGAACGCUGGCGGCAUGCCUAAUACAUGCAAGUCGAACGAAGUCUUUAGGAAGCUUGCUUCCAAAGAGACUUAGUGGCGAACGGGUGAGUAACACGUAGGUAACCUGCCCAUGUGCCCGGGAUAACUGCUGGAAACGGUAGCUAAAACCGGAUAGGUAUGAGGGAGGCAUCUUCCUCAUAUUAAAGCACCUUCGGGUGUGAACAUGGAUGGACCUGCGCGCAUUAGCUGUGUGAGUACGGCCACCAAGGCGAUGAUGCGUAGCCGACCUGAGAGGGUGAACGGCCACAUUGGGACUGAGACACGGGCCCAAACUCCUACGGGAGGCAGCAGUAGGGAAUUUUUCGUCAAUGGGGGGAACCCUGGAACGAGCAAAGUGCCGCGUGCGUGAAGAAGGUCUUCGGAUC
RNAcentral lists this ribosomal RNA (407 nucleotides) under uncultured bacterium. RNAcentral's name for it is "bacterial SSU rRNA". It matches the Rfam family "Bacterial small subunit ribosomal RNA", at positions 28 to 424 of the family's 1533-position model. The record is from RNAcentral.